RNAcentral lists this ribosomal RNA (292 nucleotides) under uncultured bacterium. Its description in RNAcentral is "partial 16S ribosomal RNA". It matches the Rfam family "Bacterial small subunit ribosomal RNA", at positions 505 to 796 of the family's 1533-position model. The record is from RNAcentral.
GUGCCAGCAGCCGCGGUAAUACGUAGGUGGCAAGCGUUGUCCGGAUUUACUGGGCGUAAAGAGCGCGCAGGCGGCCAAGUCAGUCGAAUGUGAAAGCCCCCGGCUCAACUGGGGAGGGUCAUUCGAUACUGCUCGGCUCGAAGACAGGAGAGGGAAGUGGAAUUCCCGGUGUAGUGGUGAAAUGCGUAGAUAUCGGGAGGAACACCAGUGGCGAAGGCGACUUUCUGGCCUGUUCUUGACGCUGAGGCGCGAAAGCUAGGGGAGCAAACGGGAUUAGAUACCCCGGUAGUCC